RNAcentral lists this ribosomal RNA (253 nucleotides) under uncultured bacterium. RNAcentral's name for it is "partial 16S ribosomal RNA". It matches the Rfam family "Bacterial small subunit ribosomal RNA", at positions 524 to 776 of the family's 1533-position model. The record is from RNAcentral.
UACGGGGGGGGCAAGCGUUGUUCGGAAUUACUGGGCGUAAAGGGCCAGUAGGCGGCCAACUAAGUCCGACGUGAAAUCCCAAGGCUUAACCUUGGAACUGCGUCGGAUACUGGAUGGCUUGAAUUCGGGAGAGGGAUGCAGAAUUCCAGGUGUAGCGGUGAAAUGCGUAGAUAUCAAGAGGAACACCUGAGGUGAAGACGGGUUGCUGGGCUGACACUGACGCUGAGGCGCGAAAGCCAGGGGAGCAAACGGG